GGCUUGGUGGCGUAAUGGUAACACGCUCCAUGUAUCUUGCAACGUUCGCAUAUUGUUUGACGGAGAGUCUGGAGUUCGAUUCUUCGUCAAGCCA
Mycena latifolia is the source of this 94-nucleotide non-coding RNA. The record is from the annotation of a GenBank genome assembly. Lineage: Eukaryota; Fungi; Basidiomycota; Agaricomycetes; Agaricales; Mycenaceae.